UUAAGCAUAUCAAUAAGCGGAGGAAAAGAAACCAACCGGGAUUGCCUCAGUAACGGCGAGUGAAGCGGCAAGAGCUCAAAUUUGAAAGCUGGCUCCUUCGGGGUCCGCAUUGUAAUUUGCAGAGGAUGCUUCGGGUGCGGCCCCUGUCUAAGUGCCCUGGAACGGGCCGUCAGAGAGGGUGAGAAUCCCGUCUGGGAUGGGGUGUCCGCGCCCGUGUGAAGCUCCUUCGACGAGUCGAGUUGUUUGGGAAUGCAGCUCUAAAUGGGUGGUAAAUUUCAUCUAAAGCUAAAUACUGGCCGGAGACCGAUAGCGCACAAGUAGAGUGAUCGAAAGAUGAAAAGCACUUUGAAAAGAGAGUUAAAAAGCACGUGAAAUUGUUGAAAGGGAAGCGCUUGCGACCAGACUCGCCUCCAGGGUUCAGCCGGCAUUCGUGCCGGUGUACUUCCCUGGGGGCGGGCCAGCGUCGGUUUGGGCGGCCGGUCAAAGGCUCCCGGAAUGUAGUGCCCUCCGGGGCACCUUAUAGCCGGGAGUGCAAUGCGGCCAGCCUGGACCGAGGAACGCGCUUCGGCACGGACGCUGGCAUAAUGGUCGUAAACGACCCGUCUUGAAACACGGA
This 616-nucleotide ribosomal RNA is filed under the name Aspergillus flavus. RNAcentral's name for it is "LSU rRNA". It matches the Rfam family "Eukaryotic large subunit ribosomal RNA", at positions 34 to 665 of the family's 3401-position model. Lineage: Eukaryota; Fungi; Ascomycota; Eurotiomycetes; Eurotiales; Aspergillaceae. The record is from RNAcentral.